AUUAACCUCACUGUUUCCCACCAAAAAAUAUGUUUCAGACUAAAUAUAACUCGGCAUUCCAGGGAAUAAGAAAAUGCAGUUCUUGAAUUUUCCCAGCUUCAAUAUUUGGUUUUUGAUUUGGUAUUUUAAUUUUAAACCCCUCCAAAAAUAAAAGGAAACCAAUUGCUCCACAAGAGCAGAAAACUCAGGUUACUACAAUUAAGCACCCCUAAACAGAGACAAAAACAGAGAAGCUAUAGCACUGAAGAAUAUUUAAUUAUUUAUAAUUAAAACCAUUUUAAGACAAAAUCAGAUAAAAUCUUAAGCUGAUCAAUGCUCACGUAGAAGCCUGAAACAUCAACUUCGGACUUACAAGUUUUAAUUAUAUAAAAAAAAAACUAAAACAAAAAUGUGAAAGAAAAAAAGAAGACAUAAAGCAGCUAGCUUGUAUUGUUAACGGUAAUUCUAGUGGUUGGUGUUGGUGUAGAGUGGUGGGCAUGAUGGGAAUAUCAGAUGCUCAGUUGCUGACGCUUCUGGCAGGUUGAUAAGAGAAGAGAAAGACUUAAUCAUCCAAUCCAGCAUCAUCUUCUUAACAGAUCGUUUCUUUUUUGGAAAUAAGCUUCCUUUCUUUUGCUUGAACAACCUUGGCUGCGUCUUCGAGUUUGUCACUUGUUCACCAGGAUUCGCCACCAUUCCUGGCUUCCUUUCGGCUACCUCCGGGUACACCUUCACCGUCAUUUCUCUCUCUC
This 728-nucleotide long non-coding RNA is filed under the name Durio zibethinus. RNAcentral's name for it is "long non-coding RNA (DZIB_LNC000921)". Lineage: Eukaryota; Viridiplantae; Streptophyta; Magnoliopsida; Malvales; Malvaceae. The record is from RNAcentral.